CACGUAGGGCGCGAGCGUUGUCCGGAAUUAUUGGGCGUAAAGGGCGCGUAGGCGGCGGGUCAAGUCGAGUGUGAAAGCCCCGGGCUCAACCUGGGAGGUGCGCUCGAGACUGGUCUGCUUGAGUUCGGGAGAGGAGAGUGGAAUUCCCAGUGUAGAGGUGAAAUUCGUAGAUAUUGGGAAGAACACCGGUGGCGAAGGCGGCUCUCUGGACCGAGACUGACGCUGAGGCGCGAAAGCGUGGGGAGCAAACAGG
RNAcentral lists this ribosomal RNA (253 nucleotides) under uncultured bacterium. RNAcentral's name for it is "partial 16S ribosomal RNA". It matches the Rfam family "Bacterial small subunit ribosomal RNA", at positions 524 to 776 of the family's 1533-position model. The record is from RNAcentral.